GAUGAACGCUGGCGGCGUGCCUAAUACAUGCAAGUCGAGCGAACGGACGAGAAGCUUGCUUUUCUGAUGUUAGCGGCGGACGGGUGAGUAACACGUGGAUAACCUACCUAUAAGACUGGGAUAACUUCGGGAAACCGGAGCUAAUACCGGAUAAUAUUUUGAACCGCAUGGUUCAAAAGUGAAAGACGGUCUUGCUGUCACUUAUAGAUGGGUCCGCGCUGCAUUAGCUAGUUGGUAAGGUGACGGCUUACCAAGGCAACGAUGCAUAGCCGACCUGAGAGGGUGAUCGGCCACACUGGAACUGAGACACGGUCCAGACUCCUACGGGAGGCAGCAGUAGGGAAUCUUCCGCAAUGGGCGAAAGCCUGACGGAGCAACGCCGCGUGAGUGAUGAAGGUCUUCGGAUCGUAAAACUCUGUUAUUAGGGAAGAACAUAUGUGUAAGUAACUGUGCACAUCUUGACGGUACCUAAUCAGAAAGCCACGGCUAACUACGUG
Molecule: ribosomal RNA, 497 nt
Filed under: uncultured bacterium
Lineage: Bacteria
Description: partial 16S ribosomal RNA
Rfam family: Bacterial small subunit ribosomal RNA
Source: RNAcentral